This 506-nucleotide ribosomal RNA is filed under the name Pithecopus hypochondrialis (orange-legged leaf frog). RNAcentral's name for it is "Phyllomedusa hypochondrialis (orange-legged leaf frog) partial 12S ribosomal RNA". It matches the Rfam family "Bacterial small subunit ribosomal RNA", at positions 776 to 1522 of the family's 1533-position model. Lineage: Eukaryota; Metazoa; Chordata; Amphibia; Anura; Hylidae. The record is from RNAcentral.
GAUUAGAUACCCCACUAUGCUUAACCGUAAACUUUAAAUUACAACACAAACGCCAGAGAACUACGAGCAAAGCUUAAAACUCAAAGGACUUGACGGUACCCCAUAUCCACCUAGAGGAGCCUGUCCUAUAAUCGAUAACCCCCGCUUUACCUCACCAUUUUUAGUCGUCAGCCUGUAUACCUCCGUCGUCAGCUUACCACGUGAGCGAACCACAGUGAGCCUAAUGUCUACACGUCAACACGUCAGGUCAAGGUGCAGUUAACAAAAUGUGGAAGAGAUGGGCUACACUCUCUAAUUUAGAGGAUACGAAAAACUUUAUGAAACCUAGUUAGAAGGCGGAUUUAGCAGUAAAAAGAAACUAGAGAGUUCUUUUUAAUACGGCACUGGGGUGUGUACACACCGCCCGUCACCCUCUUCAAAAUCUCACUUCAGUAUCUAACUUAUUUCUUACUGCAAGAAGAGGUAAGUCGUAACAUGGUAAGUAUACCGGAAGGUGUGCUUGGAAA